This 69-nucleotide transfer RNA is filed under the name Stictochironomus akizukii. Its description in RNAcentral is "tRNA-Ala". It matches the Rfam family "tRNA". From Rfam's summary of the family: Transfer RNA (tRNA) molecules are approximately 80 nucleotides in length. Their secondary structure includes four short double-helical elements and three loops (D, anti-codon, and T loops). Further hydrogen bonds mediate the characteristic L-shaped molecular structure. tRNAs have two regions of fundamental functional importance: the anti-codon, which is responsible for specific mRNA codon recognition, and the 3' end, to which the tRNAs corresponding amino acid is attached (by aminoacyl-tRNA synthetases). tRNAs cope with the degeneracy of the genetic code in two manners: having more than one tRNA (with a specific anti-codon) for a particular amino acid; and 'wobble' base-pairing, i.e. permitting non-standard base-pairing at the 3rd anti-codon position. The record is from RNAcentral. Lineage: Eukaryota; Metazoa; Arthropoda; Insecta; Diptera; Chironomidae.
AAGAGUAUAGUUAAUUAUAACAUUUGAUUUGCAUUCAAAAAGUAUUAGAAACCCUCCUAAUUAUUCUUA